This 263-nucleotide ribosomal RNA is filed under the name uncultured bacterium. RNAcentral describes it as "partial 16S ribosomal RNA". It matches the Rfam family "Bacterial small subunit ribosomal RNA", at positions 793 to 1055 of the family's 1533-position model. The record is from RNAcentral.
GUCCUAGCCGUAAACGAUGCAUACUAGAAGUAGGAAGGCUCAACCCUUUCUGUUUCGGAGCUAACGCGUUAAGUAUGCCACCUGGGGAGUACGCUCGCAAGGGUGAAACUCAAAAGAAUUGACGGGGGCCCGCACAAGCAGUGGAGCAUGUGGUUUAAUUCGAUGCAACGCGAAGAACCUUACCUGGGCUCGAAAUGUAGAGGACGAAUUGAGAGAUUGAUUUUCCCGAAAGGGUCUCUAUAUAGGUGCUGCAUGGCUGUCGU